GACGAACGCUGGCGGCGUGCUUAACACAUGCAAGGCGAACGGAAAGGCCCUGCUUUUGUGGGGUGCUCGAGUGGCGAACGGGUGAGUAACAUGUGAGUAACCUGCCCUUGACUUUGGGAUAACUUCAGGAAACUGGGGCUAAUACCGGAUAGGAGCUCCUGUUGCAUGGGGGGGGUUGGAAAGUUUCGGCGGUUGGGGAUGGACUCGCGGCUUAUCAGCUUGUUGGUGGGGUAGUGGCUUACCAAGGCUUUGACGGGUAGCCGGCCUGAGAGGGUGACCGGCCACAUUGGGGCUGAGUUCCGGCCCAGCCUCCUACGGGGGGCAGCAGUGGGGAAUCUUGCACAAUGGGCGGAAGCCUGAUGCAGCAACGCCGCGUGCGGGAUGACGGCCUUCGGGUUGUAAACCGCUUUCGCCUGUGACGCAGCGUGAGUGACGGUAAUGGGUAAAGAAGCACCGGCUAACUACGUG
RNAcentral lists this ribosomal RNA (468 nucleotides) under uncultured bacterium. Its description in RNAcentral is "partial 16S ribosomal RNA". It matches the Rfam family "Bacterial small subunit ribosomal RNA", at positions 28 to 507 of the family's 1533-position model. The record is from RNAcentral.